RNAcentral lists this ribosomal RNA (253 nucleotides) under uncultured bacterium. Its description in RNAcentral is "partial 16S ribosomal RNA". It matches the Rfam family "Bacterial small subunit ribosomal RNA", at positions 524 to 776 of the family's 1533-position model. The record is from RNAcentral.
UACAGAGGUCCCAAGCGUUGUUCGGAUUCACUGGGCGUAAAGGGUGCGUAGGCGGUCGGGUAAGUCUGAUGUGAAAUCUCACAGCUUAACUGUGAAACUGCAUUGGAUACUAUCCGGCUCGAGGAAUGGAGGGGAGACUGGAAUACUUGGUGUAGCAGUGAAAUGCGUAGAUAUCAGGAGGAACACCGGUGGCGAAGGCGGGUCUCUGGGAAGUAACUGACGCUGAGAAGCGAAAGCGUGGGUGGCAAACAGG